This 447-nucleotide ribosomal RNA is filed under the name uncultured bacterium. RNAcentral describes it as "bacterial SSU rRNA". It matches the Rfam family "Bacterial small subunit ribosomal RNA", at positions 331 to 794 of the family's 1533-position model. The record is from RNAcentral.
CCAGACUCCUACGGGAGGCAGCAGUGGGGAAUAUUGCACAAUGGGGGAAACCCUGAUGCAGCGACGCCGCGUGAGCGAUGAAGUAUUUCGGUAUGUAAAGCUCUAUCAGCAGGGAAGAAAAUGACGGUACCUGACUAAGAAGCCCCGGCUAACUACGUGCCGGCAGCCGCGGUAAUACGUAGGGGGCAAGCGUUAUCCGGAUUUACUGGGUGUAAAGGGAGCGUAGACGGUCCUGCAAGCCAGAUGUGAAAGCCCGGGGCGCAACCCCGGGACUGCAGUUGGAACUGUAAGGCUAGAGAGUCGGAGAGGCAGGCGGAAUUCCUAGUGUAGCGGUGAAAGGCGUAGAUAUUAGGAGGAACACCAGUGGCGAAGGCGGCUUACUGGACGAUGACUGACGCUGAGGCUCGAAAGCGUGGGGAGCAAACAGGAUUAGAUACCCCGGUACAU